UAUGUUCCAGUUGCUCCUGUUUCCACUCUGAGAAGAGCAGCAGCUAGAAGCAUCUUCCAGAAAUGUCAGAAAGGCUACCUAAAAUUUUUGGGAUUCAUCUGCAGGCUACUCCUUUGGCUAUUCCUCCAAAUCAGCCUCACCCCUCCGAUCCUCCACACCAGCCUCACCCUCCUCCCGGCCCUCCAUGUCAGCCCCACCAUCCUGGUCGGUCAUGCCAGCUCCACCCUCUUUCUGUCCCUUCACACCACCCUCAAACUCCUGGUCCUACAUCCCAGCUUCCCCCUCCUUGUCCUCCUGCUGGGCCUCCCAGUGCUUCUGGUCCUUCACCCCAUCCUCACCCUGCUUCCGGUCCUUCGCUCCAGCUUGCCAAACCUUCAGAUUCUCUACCCCGGCUUCCCUUCCCUUGUCAUUCACUCUAUCUUAACCCUCCUGUUCUUCCACACGAGCCUCACCCUCCUUCUGGUCCCCCACCCUGGCCUCGCCGUCCUGGCCUCCCACACCGGCAUCACCGUCCUCUUCCUCUAAGCCAGUCCCCCGCUUCUCAUUCUCCAUCCAGCCCUCACCUUUCUCUUCCACCCAGCCCUCACCCUCCUUCUCAUUCUCCACAUCAGAUUCACCUUCCUUCUCGUCCUCCACCCCUGGCUCACCUUCCUCCUUGUCCCACAUCCCAGCUUCACUCUCCUCAUCCUCCACCCCUCCCCCACACUCCUUCUUGUCCUCCACUUGAGCCUCUCCCUCCUCAGCCUCGACCCCAGCCACACUCUCUCUCUCCUCCUCCACCCCAUCCUCAUCCCCCUCGUCACUUUUCUCCUCCUCCAACCCAGCCUCAAGCCCCUUCUCAUCCUAAAGCGCAGCUUCACUCUGCUCAUCGUCCAGCCCAGCCUCACCCUGCUCCUCCUCCUACAACCCGGCUUCACCCUGCUCAUCUUGCAGCCCAGCUUCAGCCGGAUGUUCUAAGCCACGCUCAUCCUCCUCACUCUUCAACUCGGCCUCACCCUCCUGCUGACCCUCAGCCCCAGACUCACCCUCCUGUCCCUCUAAUCCGGGCUUAUCCUCCUCUUCCUGCAUUCCCUCCACACCCUCCUGCUCAUCUCACCUACCGACCUCACCAUUCUUGUAUUCCUAAACCCCGGCCCCAACCCUGUGCUCGGCUUCCACACAAGCCUCUUUCUCCCUUUCUUUCACCUUGGCCUCAUGCUCCUGACUCUUCAUACCCACUUCAGGCUUGUUUUCCUUCACUACAUCAGUCUUCCACUCCUUGUCACCCUUCACGCCAUCUUCAAACUCCUGCUGUCAGUGCAUCCUGGCAUCCCUCUCCCGCAAAUUUCCCUCUCUCUCCUGGCCCUCCAUGCCAGCCUCACCCUCCCUUGAAUCCUCCAUCCAAGUCUCUCCCUCCUUCUGGUAUAUUUCAUGAUUAUUCUCCAGUCCUCCUAUCUGAUGAGUCUUCUGAGAAUUCCAGCAUAGAGGAGAUCACACCCACAUGCAGUGAAUGUCUCUCAGAUUUCUGCUCCACAUUUCACCCCAUUCUUGAUAGUAACUCCCCCAAUGACUUGGCCUCAUUUCAAUUCAUGAUCAGCUCUUCUGUUCCUACCAAAUCCCCCCUUUUCCUCCCUGUGAAUUUGCCUCCCGUUUCCAGUUCCCCCUCUGACUUCUCCCUGAGUCCUCCUGACAGCCCUACUUAUUAGUCCCCUGUAUUCCACCCUGCAAAUCCAGUGACCUCAUGAUCCAUGAAUCUCCUCUCAAGGGAUAUUCUCCCUCCUGCUGGGCCAGUUCUGGUACAUCUCACAAUGGAAGCACUCUGGAUGUCCAGCAGCCUGACCAGAUUGUUGGUAAAGGUGGUCGCCAGUGAAGAAGCACUUACCUCCUGCGUGUCAUCUCCACAAACUAUUUCAGGAUGGGAUCCAGGAAUUUUUACUAAUCAAGCUUGCUCCAGAGAGCUGCAACAGAUGUCUUAGCAGUGGGAAUAUAUCGGGAGCCAAAGCAGGUUGUGAGAGGUAAUUUGUGCAGGUGGUGUCAAUGAAGAAGCAUGUAGUUGCUUUGUGUCAAGCCUCCACAAACUAUUCCAGGUGAGAUCCAGGGAUGUCUACUCAUUAAGGAGAAGCUGCAACUGUUGUCUUAGGCACCGGGAUAUACUGGAAGUCAAAACGGGAUUGUGAGAGCGGUGACGACCGAUAAUGAAAAUAACGUGAAAGUUUAAAGUCACUGAGGAAAUGAGGAAAACCGUAACCUGAUGAUAGUUCUGUCUGUCUCCACAGCCAUGCUACAUCACAGUGCUUUGAGAGAGACUCAGAAAGAAACAACCAUCGAAGUUAAUUCUUCUUUGUAACCUGCAUCCCCUUCAAUUUGCACCAGAAACAACCUUGCAUGUCCUUAGGAAAUGAGGGCAGUCCUCCUGUGUCCUGAAUCCCUGAUACUGUGAUUAUUGGUACUACAAUCCCUGGGGCUACUCUUACUCACAGGUGGGAACUGGAGGGCCUUACCUGCAUCUCUGUUUUAGCUGGUCUUUGCCUAUUCAGAAUUGCAGGCAUAACCUUAACUUGCACUGUAAGACCUAGGUAAGGACCAUAGUGCAUCCUACAGCUCUGAGUCUGUGACUUUGAUGUAUGUCCCAGGACACCUGUGAUCACUAAUGGGGACUGGGGAAGGCCCUAUCUGCACCCCACAGUUCCAGGCUUGCAUUUGCUAGUGCAAUCUCCACGGAAAUCUGUGAUCAACCUGUGGAUGUGGGUAAACUACACUCCAGUUCUGGUAGUUCUGGGACCAGGAUUGCUGGAAAUAUAAAGAAACACUUGACUACUUGCUGUGAAACUUGGGGAGGACUCUGUCUGCAUCCCACUGCUCCAGAUCUGAUGCAACAGUGUUGCCCUAGGUUUUUGAAUUUCAGUUAACUUCAGAGGACAUGAAAACUCUUGAUGGACUGAACAGAAAUUUUCGCUAUGAUGCCACCUCUUUUUUUGAUCGCCACCCUAAUUACCCAUUUUCUGAUGAAUAUUAACAUGGAGGACUGCAUCAUAGCUUUCACUAGCAGCUCCUGCAUGUGGAUCAUGAUGUGAGAGACAUCUUAAAUUCUGGUGAUUGGACCCCUCUCUUCUGAUUAAUCCAAGCUGCCUUCCAACUCACAUAGAGCUAAGGAUAUAUUAGAAAGUAAAGGCACUGCAUCUUCUCAUGUGAUGGAAAAUAAAUAAAUUGUUUUUGCA
This is a non-coding RNA of Oryctolagus cuniculus (rabbit), 3197 nucleotides long. NCBI's taxonomy places the organism in Eukaryota, Metazoa, Chordata, Mammalia, Lagomorpha, Leporidae. The record is from RefSeq and is a predicted model, not a curated record.